AGCAGCCGCGGUAAUUCCAGCUCCAAUAGCGUAUAUUAAAGUUGUUGCAGUUAAAAAGCUCGUAGUUGAAUUUCGAGACCGGUCUACUGGUCGUGCUUUCGUACGUACUGGUAUAAUCGGUUUCUCUCUUCUGACGAACUAUAAUGCCAUUAAUUUGGUGUUUUAGGGAAUCAGGACUGUUACUUUGAAAAAAUUAGAGUGUUUAAAGCAGGCUCACGCUUGAAUACAUUAGCAUGGAAUAACGAAGUAGGACGUCUGAUUCUAUUUUGUUGGUUUCUAGGAUCGACGUAAUGAUUAAUAGGGAUAGUUGGGGGCAUUAGUAUUCAAUUGUCAGAGGUGAAAUUCUUGGAUUUAUUGAAGACUAACUACUGCGAAAGCAUUUGCCAAGGAUGUUUUCAUUAAUCAAGAACGAAAGUUAGGGGAUCGAAGACGAUCAGAUACCGUCGUAGUCUUAACCAUAAACUAUGCCGACUAGGGAUCGGAUGAUGUUAAUUUUUAAUGACUCAUUCGGCGCCUUACG
This 520-nucleotide ribosomal RNA is filed under the name uncultured Glomus. RNAcentral describes it as "SSU rRNA". It matches the Rfam family "Eukaryotic small subunit ribosomal RNA", at positions 569 to 1092 of the family's 1831-position model. Lineage: Eukaryota; Fungi; Glomeromycota; Glomeromycetes; Glomerales; Glomeraceae. The record is from RNAcentral.